GACGAACGCUGGCGGCGUGCUUAACACAUGCAAGUCGAACGGAAAGGCCCUGCUUUUGUGGGGUGCUCGAGUGGCGAACGGGUGAGUAACACGUGAGUAAACUGCCCUUGACUUUGGGAUAACUUUAGGAAACUGGGGCUAAUAUCGGAUAGGAGCUACUGCUGCAUGGUGGGGGUUGGAAAGUUUCGGCGGUUGGGGAUGGACUCGCGGCUUAUCAGCUUGUUGGUGGGGUAGUGGCUUACCAAGGCUUUGACGGGUAGGCGGCCUGAGAGGGUGACCGGCCACAUUGGGACUGAGAUACGGCCCAGACUCCUACGGGAGGCAGCAGUGGGGAAUAUUGCACAAUGGGCGGAAGCCUGAUGCAGCAACGCCGCGUGCGGGAUGACGGCCUUCGGGUUGUAAACCGCUUUCGCCUGUGACGAAGCGUGAGUGACGGUAAUGGGUAAAGAAGCACCGGCUAACUACGUG
Molecule: ribosomal RNA, 468 nt
Filed under: uncultured bacterium
Lineage: Bacteria
Description: partial 16S ribosomal RNA
Rfam family: Bacterial small subunit ribosomal RNA
Source: RNAcentral